RNAcentral lists this small RNA (127 nucleotides) under unclassified sequences. Its description in RNAcentral is "LOOT RNA". It matches the Rfam family "LOOT RNA". Rfam says of the family: Latescibacteria, OD1/Parcubacteria, OP11, TM7. The record is from Rfam by way of RNAcentral.
CACCUAACCCUUGUACUUUCUUAACAAAUACAAGGUAUGGUCAAAAACCGGUAAAGGAUAAAGAACCCAUCGUGGGACUACCUUUACCGGUCCUGUCAGGAAACUGGCAGUGGAUAGCUUAGCUAUC